Molecule: ribosomal RNA, 448 nt
Filed under: uncultured bacterium
Lineage: Bacteria
Description: bacterial SSU rRNA
Rfam family: Bacterial small subunit ribosomal RNA
Source: RNAcentral
CCAGACUCCUACGGGAGGCAGCAGUGGGGAAUAUUGCACAAUGGGGGGAACCCUGAUGCAGCGACGCCGCGUGGGCGAAGAAGUAUUUCGGUAUGUAAAGCCCUAUCAGCAGGGAAGAAGAAAUGACGGUACCUGAGUAAGAAGCACCGGCUAAAUACGUGCCAGCAGCCGCGGUAAUACGUAGGGGGCAAGCGUUAUCCGGAUUCACUGGGCGUAAAGGGAGCGCAGGCGGCACGGCAAGUCUGGUGUGAAAGCCCGGGGCCCAACCCCGGGACUGCAUUGGAAACUGCCGGGCUGGAGUGCCGGAGGGGCAGGCGGAAUUCCUGGUGUAGCGGUGAAAUGCGCAGAUAUCAGGAAGAACACCGGUGGCGCAGGCGGCUUGCUGGACGGCAACUGACGCUGAGGCUCGAAAGCGUGGGGAGCAAACAGGAUUAGAUACCCUCGUAAA